Vicia villosa (hairy vetch) is the source of this 411-nucleotide long non-coding RNA. RefSeq lists it as uncharacterized. The record is from RefSeq and is a predicted model, not a curated record. The transcript has 2 exons. NCBI's taxonomy places the organism in Eukaryota, Viridiplantae, Streptophyta, Magnoliopsida, Fabales, Fabaceae.
AUACUAAGAGGCAUCAAUUAUUCAGUUUGAACAAUUGUAAGUUGGUGUUUUGGCAUCUGUUUUUGAUAUUUUGAUAACUGUUUUUUAUCUAUAUAAAUGUUUCAGGUGAUGGAAUUAGAUGUCAAAGAAAGGACAGAGAGCGAAAUUGGAGCCGUUCAAAUUUUAUGUAGUCCCUUUGAUCAGCCAGAACUAUUAGAAGGCACCAAGUGCUUUGCAUCAGAUAAGCCUGCAAAGAAGUGGACUUAUUGGGGCAAAAGUUAUUAGGCAAUUGAGUACUAGAGCUGAUAAAAGAAUAGAAACUGUUUGAGUUUGUGAUGGUUUUAUAUUAAGUUUUAAAUAAUAGUAAGUAAAUAGCUUUAACUUUAUGUAUAAAACUCUUAGUUUUAUUUUUAAAGUGCUUUAGGAUGAAAA